Molecule: ribosomal RNA, 406 nt
Filed under: uncultured bacterium
Lineage: Bacteria
Description: bacterial SSU rRNA
Rfam family: Bacterial small subunit ribosomal RNA
Source: RNAcentral
UGGGGAAUAUUGCACAAUGGGCGCAAGCCUGAUGCAGCAACGCCGCGUGAACGAUGAAGGUCUUCGGAUUGUAAAGUUCUGUCCUUGGGGAAGAAGAAUGUGACGGUACCCUUGGAGGAAGCCCCGGCUAACUACGUGCCAGCAGCCGCGGUAAUACGUAGGGGGCGAGCGUUAUCCGGAAUUAUUGGGCGUAAAGAGUACGUAGGUGGUUUUGUAAGCGCGGGGUGAAAGGCAGUGGCUUAACCAUUGUUAGCCUUGCGAACUGCAAGACUUGAGUGCAGGAGAGGAAAGCGGAAUUCCUAGUGUAGCGGUGAAAUGCUUAGAUAUUAGGAGGAACACCAGUGGCGAAGGCGGCUUUCUGGACUGUAACUGACACUGAGGUACGAAAGCGUGGGGAGCAAACAGG